RNAcentral lists this ribosomal RNA (483 nucleotides) under uncultured bacterium. RNAcentral's name for it is "partial 16S ribosomal RNA". It matches the Rfam family "Bacterial small subunit ribosomal RNA", at positions 28 to 507 of the family's 1533-position model. The record is from RNAcentral.
AUUGAACGCUGGCGGCAUGCUUUACACAUGCAAGUCGAACGGCAGCGCGGGCUUCGUCCUGGCGGCGCGUGGCGAACGGGUGAGUAAUGCAUCGGAACGUGCCCAGCAGUUGGGGAUAGCACGGCGAAGGCCGGCUUAAUACCGCAUCCGACCUGAGGGUGAACGGCGGGGACCGAAAGUCCUCGCGCUUUUUGAGGGGCCGUGGUGCGGUUAGCGAGUCGGUGGGGUAAAGGCUUACCAAGGCGACGAGCCGUAGCUGGUCUGCGUGGACGACCGGCCAAACGGAGACUGGGACAGGGCCCAGACCCCAAGGGAGGGCAGCGGAGGGGAAUUUUGGAAAAGGGGGGCAACCUUGAGCCAGCCAUGCGGCGUGCGGGAAGAAGGCCUCCGAGUGGUAAACCGCUUUUGUUCGGGAAGAAAUCCUCUGGGCUAAUACCGCGGGGGAUGACGGUACCGGAAGAGUAAGCACCGGCUAACUACGUG